UACGGAGGAGGCAAGCGUUAUCCGGAAUUAUUGGGCGUAAAGCGUCCGCAGGUGGCGAUUCAAGUCUGCGGUUAAAGACUGGGGCUUAACCCUGGAAAGGCCGUGGAAACUGAAACGCUAGAGUGCAGUAGGGGUAGAGGGAAUUCCCGGUGUAGCAGUGAAAUGCGUAGAGCUCGGGAAGAACAUCGGUGGCGAAAGCGCUCUGCUGGACUGCAACUGACACUCAGGGACGAAAGCUAGGGGAGCGAAUGGG
Molecule: ribosomal RNA, 253 nt
Filed under: uncultured bacterium
Lineage: Bacteria
Description: partial 16S ribosomal RNA
Rfam family: Bacterial small subunit ribosomal RNA
Source: RNAcentral